UAGGGAAUAUUGCAAAAUGGGCGAAAGCCCGAUGCAGCAACGCCGCGUGGGCGAUGAAGGCCUUCGGGUCGUAAAGCCCUUUUUGAGUGGAUGAGGAAGGACAGUACCCUCAGAAUAAGCCUCGGCUAACUACGUGCCAGCAGCCGCGGUAAAACGUAGGAGGCGAGCGUUAUCCGGAUUUACUGGGCGUAAAGGAUGCGUAGGCGGAUACUUAAGUCAGAUGUGAAAAUCCCGGGCUUAACUUGGGAACUGCAUUUGAAACUGGGUAUCUAGAGUGCGGGAGAGNAAAGUGGAAUUCCUAGUGUAGCGGUGAAAUGCGUAGAGAUUAGGAAGAACACCAGUGGCGAAGGCGACUUUCUGGACCGUAACUGACGCUGAGGCAUGAAAGCGUGGGUAGCAAACA
Molecule: ribosomal RNA, 403 nt
Filed under: uncultured bacterium
Lineage: Bacteria
Description: bacterial SSU rRNA
Rfam family: Bacterial small subunit ribosomal RNA
Source: RNAcentral